Long non-coding RNA from Etheostoma spectabile (orangethroat darter), 4148 nucleotides. RefSeq lists it as uncharacterized. Lineage: Eukaryota; Metazoa; Chordata; Actinopteri; Perciformes; Percidae. The record is from RefSeq and is a predicted model, not a curated record. The transcript has 4 exons.
GUGCAAGUCUCGCAACCACUUCAGUAUGAAUGGUGAAGCUGCACAAGAAAACUCUGGUGCAGCAAUUAAAAAAGUUAGGACAGACGCAGAGAGGGACAGAGACAGAGAAAGCGCACACAUGGUUUCCUGAUGUGUUGGUUUUUAUUUUGCAGUGCAAAAGAUUGAAAGUGAAAGAAAAUGUUUCAGCGCUGGUGUAGAUGUGCGCCUCGCAAAUGUUGGCAGUUGAAAAAGAAAAAGACGUGCAAAGUUUGCGUCUGACCGCCAGUGAUGUGGGUUUGCAGUGAAGACUUUCUGAUGAAGAGGAGGAUGAAGACUGAUACACUGUGCUACGGCGCAAGAUUGAGAAACGUCUCACCACAGGACCAUCAUGCUGGUUUCUACCACAUUUACUCAUCCUGACAACUGAUGGGAAAACUACCUCAGCAAAGCUCAUCAAGUAGGAGUUAACAUUUGACAUAUGGCUGAGUCAGUUUGGGGUCAUGACAUCAUCAUCAUGAGAUGGGGCGGGUGCUGGGUGGCGACCGCAGGCGGCAACAGAAGACGUUGUGCUGUAUGCCCUUGUUUGCAGCUGCUGCUUCUUGGCAAAAAAAGAAUGUGCUGUGGAGUUGCCUCAGGGAAAAAUGUGCUCAAAUGUUGAAAGUAAGAACCAAAUCAAAAGGUUUGGAAGGGCAGUAAGUAAGAGUUGUAUUGUCGCAUUGCACCAGAUGACCAUUAAACACCUGCAGGAGGUGGAUAGCGUUUGUGUCCAGGUGCUGUGGUUUGUUGGCUUUCCAAACUUAUUCCUUUUCUUUUAGUUUCGCUUGUGAGCUGUUUUGGCUCGAAAUCCCCAGACCCAGUGAAGUCAUGCAGAUGCUGGUAAAAUCCCAGCUGGUGAUGAACACAGCAAGUAACACAAUUAGUAUUAUUUAUAUAUAUAUAUAUAUAUAUAUAUAUACACUGAAUAGUGUAUAUAUACACUGACCAAAAAUUAGAAACGCAACACUAUAUAUAUUUUAGCGAGGACCAGUGUAUAAGUAUCUAGUGUGACCACCAUUUGCCUCAUUUGCCUUGAGUUGAUGAGGCUGUUGAUUGUGGCCUGUGGAACGUUGGUCUACACCUCUUCAAUGGCUGUGCGAAGUUGCUGGAUAUUGGCAGGACCUGGAACACACUCUCGUAUACGCCGAUCCAGAGCAUCCCAAACAUGCUCAAUGGACGACACGUCCUGUGAGUAUGCUGGCCAUGCAAGAACUGGGAUGUUUUCAGCUUCCAGGAAUUGUGUGCAGAUCCUUGCAACAUGGAGCCAUGCAUUAUCAUGAUGCAACAUGAGGUGAUGGUCAUGGAUGAAUGGCACAACAAUGGGCCUCAGGAUCUAGUCAUCGAUAAAAUGCACCUUUGUUUCUUGUCAAUAACAUACAUCUGGCCAUACCGUAACCCCACCGCCACUGUGGGCCACUCUAUCUACAACGUUGACAUCAACAAACCAAUCACCCACACGGUGCCAUACAAGCUGUCUGUCAUCUUCCUUUUACAGUGUAAACCGGGAUUCAUCCGUGAAGAGAACACCUCUCCAAAGUACCAGACUGGAUGUGGAGGUCCUGGGCUGGUGUAGUUACAUGUAGUCUGCGGUUGUGAGGCCGGUUGGAUGUACUGCCAAAUUCUCUUAAAUAACCUUUGGAGACAGCUUAUGAAUAUUAAAUUCACGGACAAAUGCUCUGGUGGGCAUUCCUGCAGUCAGCAUGCCAAAUGCACGCUCCCUCAAAACUUUCGAUAUCUGUGGGAUUGUGCUGUGUGAUAAAACUGCACACUUUAGACUGGCCUUUUAUUGUGGCCAGCCUAAGGCCCACCUGUGCAAUAAUCAUGCUGUCUAAUCAGCAUCUUGAUGUACCACACCUGUGAGGUGGAUGGAAUAUCUCGGCAAAGGAGAAGUGGUCACUAACACAGAUUUGGACAGAAUUGUGAACAAAAUUUGAAAGAAAUAAGCCUUUUGUGUGUACAUAGAAAAAGUCUUAGAUCUUUGCUCAGCUCAUGAAAAAUGUGGCCAAAACCAAAAAUUUUGUUCAGUGUAUAAAUAUACAGUAUGUAUAUGUAUAUAUAUAUAUAUAUAUAUAUAUAUAUAUAUAUAUAUAUAUAUAUAUAUAUAUAUAUUAGUGAUUGAUUGAUAUUGUGUGUACAUUUUGAAACACUUUUUUUUACAACCGUAAACUGUUCAAUAAUAAUAUUUUGAGUGAUAAUCACUAAGGAUUUAUUUUUAACGAUUAUCACUAAAGAGUUACACGUUUUUAUUGGCGGCUGAAACCUUGCAUGUAACCUUUCCUUGUAUGAGGAAUCUCUGCUGCUAAUCCUGAUUUACUAUCUAAGAAAUUAAUAAAAUAUCUUACAAGGUUUAGUUCUUUGUUUACUAAAGUCAUUAUGUUUGGCAGGGAGAUUGGCGCUAGCAGACUCUCAAGAGCAGUAAGACACAAAAAACACACACAACCACUGAUUUAAUAGAAUGAGAAAAUAUUAUCAAUAGAAAAUUAAUUCAUGAAAGGUUUGGUUCAGUUUCAUUUCUCUGGUAUGCCUUACUUCCCUUUUCUUAAGUUUUUCAUUAUCUUUAGAAAACCAAAUUAGGUCCACCUGACUAAAAUCUCCCUAGGUCAAUAAAACAUGGACAUGAUUAGAAAACAAAUAAAUGUACAGCCAAAGUAUAUAUAGUAAUACAAUUAUAAUAAAAUAAAGGUUAAAAAAGAAAAUGCUCAACUCUCAGUACCAGGUGUAUAGCCAUACGGAAAAAUUAAACAUAUUCUCUGUUUGAACAAAUUGGUUCAGUUAUUAGUUCUUAAUAGUAUCAAGUUCUUGAGUACAGUAUGCUGUUAUUUUGUUUGUAUAACUUUGUGUAUUUACAGGUUUUCUCCUAUUCAACUAAACAUCCUUUGAUGACUAAAUUCAUUUGUUCUUCCUCUCUGUGUUGCAGAUAAUAUACCUUGCCUGUAUCUACAUCAAAUAAAUCUAUUCUAUUAAAUCUGAUUUUGGAAUUUAAUUAAAAAAAGGUCAAAACUGGUAACGGCAAUGAAUGACGCAAGGUGACGUAACAGACAUCAUUGCGUCAUGGACUAAGGUCUAAAAUUACCAAUACCACAAUGUACAAAUACUCCACUACAAGUACUGUGUAGGCCUACAACUCUUACAAAUCUUAAAUAGCCAAAGUAAAAGUACUUGUUCUGCAGGAAAAUGUAUAAGUAACGUUAUAAGAAUUAAAGUGUAAACUGCUAUAUAUACAAUACCAGUCACAAGUUUGGACACGCUUUCUAAUUCACUUGAAUGGGAAAGCGUGUCCAAACUUUUGACUGGUACUGUAUUUACCAGUAUGGCAUUUUUAAAUGCAUGUAACUCUGUUCAUUUUAAAACGCCUUCAUCUCUCAGUCCGUGCCUUUUACCCCCUCUGUAUAUUAGCAUUCACACCACCGCCUGGAAACGUCAGCAUUCCAUUUACUCCUAAUUCAUAAUAAUCAAUGCUCCUUUUUUUCUUUUAUUUUCAGACAUUGUGCUGUUGUUUCAAACAUCUCAUCUGCAGCAGCAGAGACAAGAGAUCAAAAGUGAGAUAAAAAUGCUGAUUAUAAAAAAGGAAGAAAGGCAGAUCUUGUGUGGGUGUGUUAGUGUUUGAAAGAGAGCGUAUGAACCAUAGGAAGAGAAGGGACAAACAGCAAACAGGAAAGAGUGUGUGUGUGAAAGAGAGCAAGACAGUGUGAGUCAGAGGAGAGAGAGAAUGAGGAGGGGAGAUACAUUUGUCCACCUGUAAAGCUUGUUUGAGACAUCAGGCCUGUCAUAGCAGAAGUUCAUCCUGUCUGUAAGUAUCUGAUGACAAUAGACCAAUUAAACAUCUCAGACCGAGGAAGCGAUCUGUUCUUGUUGGUGUAUUUGAAGGAGAACUACAGUUCACGUUUCUGUAAACCAUAUUUAGGACAUGUUCACAUACACGUUUGCAUCGACACCCACUGGUGAGAAUUGUUCAAAACUGAACACCUUUUAUUUUAAACAAUGCUGCAAAGUGAUAAUGGAGGCAGACAGCAAGUGACCAAAACUGAACAUUAUUUACCGUUCUAUUUACAACUCGCGGAUGGAUCAUGAAACCUAAUUUCACAAAAUGCAAAGGGGGAAAAAACACAUCUGCCGUUUGAUUAAUACAAAAA